RNAcentral lists this non-coding RNA (26 nucleotides) under Rattus norvegicus (Norway rat). Lineage: Eukaryota; Metazoa; Chordata; Mammalia; Rodentia; Muridae. The record is from RNAcentral.
UGUUGACGAGGCCAGUGGCAAUAUGG